This 201-nucleotide long non-coding RNA is filed under the name Lepisosteus oculatus (spotted gar). Its description in RNAcentral is "lncRNA (ENSLOCG00000022059.1)". Lineage: Eukaryota; Metazoa; Chordata; Actinopteri; Semionotiformes; Lepisosteidae. The record is from RNAcentral.
UUCAGGAACAACAUGACUUCCAGAAGGGAUGUGCCUGUUGGAAUGGAUUAAUUUAGCUUUGUAAGAAAUGUGGUCCGCCGGAUUGGAAAGGCGAGACAAGCGGCGCUCUGUCUAAUCUUCCCUGCUGUGGUUCUGCGGUGAGGCAGUAGUCUUGUCAUCACUCAGGUGAGGUCGAAAUGCACACAAGCUGCACUCUCUGAA